This 253-nucleotide ribosomal RNA is filed under the name uncultured bacterium. Its description in RNAcentral is "partial 16S ribosomal RNA". It matches the Rfam family "Bacterial small subunit ribosomal RNA", at positions 524 to 776 of the family's 1533-position model. The record is from RNAcentral.
GACGUAGGGCGCGAGCGUUGUCCGGAUUUAUUGGGCGUAAAGCGCUCGUAGGCGGCUCGUUGCGUCGGCUGUGAAAACCCGCAGCUCAACUGUGGGCUUGCAGCUGAUACGGGCGGGCUGGGAUUCGGUAGGGGAGACUGGAAUUCCUGGUGUAGCGGUGAAAUGCGCAGAUAUCAGGAGGAACACCGGUGGCGAAGGCGGGUCUCUGGGCCGAUAUCGACGCUGAGGAGCGAAAGCGUGGGGAGCGAACAGG